Molecule: ribosomal RNA, 256 nt
Filed under: uncultured bacterium
Lineage: Bacteria
Description: partial 16S ribosomal RNA
Rfam family: Bacterial small subunit ribosomal RNA
Source: RNAcentral
UACGUAGGGUGCGAGCGUUGCCCGGAUUUAUUGGGCGUAAAGGGCGCGUAGGCGGUCGUGACAAGUCACUUGUGAAAUCUCCGGGCUUAACUCGGAACGGUCAAGUGAUACUGUCGGACUAGAGUACAGAAGGGGCAACUGGAAUUCUCGGUGUAGCGGUGAAAUGCGUAGAUAUCGAGAGGAACACCUGCGGCGAAGGCGGGUUGCUGGGCUGAUACUGACGCUGAGGCGCGGAAAGCCCAGGGGAGCGAACGGG